Molecule: ribosomal RNA, 320 nt
Filed under: uncultured eukaryote
Lineage: Eukaryota
Description: partial 18S ribosomal RNA
Rfam family: Eukaryotic small subunit ribosomal RNA
Source: RNAcentral
CCCCUAGAUGUUCUGGGCCGCACGCGCGCUACACUGAACAGUUCAACAAGUCUUAACCUUGGCCGAUAGGUCUGGGUAAUCUUUGAACGCUGUUCGUGAUUGGGAUAGACCUUUGCAAUUAUGGGUCUUCAACGAGGAAUUCCUAGUAAACGCAAGUCAUCAGCUUGCAUUGAUUACGUCCCUGCCCUUUGUACACACCGCCCGUCGCACCUACCGAUUGAAUGGUCCGGUGAAAUCUCGGGACGGCGGCUUGGUCGCUUGCGUCCGACUGCUGAAACUUGAUUAAACCUUAUCAUUUAGAGGAAGGAGAANUCGUAACA